RNAcentral lists this ribosomal RNA (411 nucleotides) under Triticum aestivum (bread wheat). RNAcentral's name for it is "partial small subunit ribosomal RNA". Lineage: Eukaryota; Viridiplantae; Streptophyta; Magnoliopsida; Poales; Poaceae. The record is from RNAcentral.
AUGGUGGCCUCGCUCCCGCACGACCUCCUCCUCGACAUCCUGCUCCGCGUGGACGACGCGGCCGCGCUCUUCCGAUGUGCCGCGGCCUCGUCGCCGACCCCGCCAUGCUCCGCCGCUGGUGGCCGGAGGACGUGCGCCCCUCCCUCGCCGGCUUCUUCAUCAAGAACUGGGUCCGUGAUCAAGAGGCCAGGGCGCUCGUCCCCACGCCACGGUCGUCGCUGGGCCGCCGGUGCCGCAGCCUCCGCUCUUUCGUGCCCACCGUGCCGGACCGGGCGGUACCGCUGGCCUCGCGCCGCGGCCUGCUCCUCGUGCGCCUCGUCCCGCCCCGUGAGGCGGACCUCGACCAGACGGUCCUCCGUCUGGCCAUGUGCAACCUGCUCCUCGGCACGUGCGACGAGCUUCCUCCUCUAA